UACAGGGGGGGCAAGCGUUGUUCGGAAUUACUGGGCGUAAAGGGCUCGUAGGCGGCCAACUAAGUCACACGUGAAAUCCCCAGGCUUAACCUGGGAACUGCGUGUGAUACUGCCAUGCUUGAGUACUGGAGAGGAGAUUGGAAUUUACGGUGUAGCAGUGAAAUGCGUAGAUAUCGUAAGGAAGACCAGUGGCGAAGGCGAAUCUCUGGACAGUUACUGACACUGAGCACGAAGGCCAGGGGAGCAAACGGG
This 252-nucleotide ribosomal RNA is filed under the name uncultured bacterium. RNAcentral's name for it is "partial 16S ribosomal RNA". It matches the Rfam family "Bacterial small subunit ribosomal RNA", at positions 524 to 776 of the family's 1533-position model. The record is from RNAcentral.